GCUAAACGCGAAGAACCUUACCAAGGCUUGACAUGGAUUUCUAAGCACGUGAAAGCGUGUGACCCUUCGGGGGACUUCCACAGGUGCUGCAUGGCCGUCGUCAGCUCGUGUCGUGAGAUGUUGGGUUAAGUCCCGCAACGAGCGCAACCCUUGUGACUAGUUGCCAGCGGGUAAAGCCGGGAACUCUAGUCAGACUGCCCAGAUCAACUGGGAGGAAGGUGGGGACGACGUCAGGUCAGUAUGGCCCUUACGCCUAGGGCUGCACACGUACUACAAUGCCCAGUACAAUGAGAGCCGAUACCGCGAGGUGGAGGAAAUCUGGAAAACUGGGCCCAGUUCGGAUUGGAGGCUGCAACUCGCCUCCAUGAAGUUGGAAUCGCUAGUAAUGGCGCAUCAUCUACGGCGCCGUGAAUACGUUCCCGGGUCUUGUACACACCG
Molecule: ribosomal RNA, 438 nt
Filed under: uncultured bacterium
Lineage: Bacteria
Description: bacterial SSU rRNA
Rfam family: Bacterial small subunit ribosomal RNA
Source: RNAcentral